AUUGAACGCUGGCGGCGUGCCUUACACAUGCAAGUCGAACGGCAGCACGGGUGCUUGCACCUGGUGGCGAGUGGCGAACGGGUGAGUAAUACAUCGGAACAUGUCCUGUAGUGGGGGAUAGCCCGGCGAAAGCCGGAUUAAUACCGCAUACGAUCCACGGGUGAAAGCGGGGGGCCUUCAGGCCUCGCGCUGUUGGGUUGGCAGAUGGCGGAUUAGCUCGUGGGUGGGGUAAAGGCCUACCAAGGCGACGAUCAGUAUCUGGUGUGAGAGGACGACCAGCCACACUGGGACUGAGACACGGACCAGACUCCUACGGGAGGCAGCAGUGGGGAAUGGUGGACAAUGGGCGAAAGCCUGGUCCAGCAAUGCCGCGUGUGUGAAGAAGGCCUUCGGGUUGUAAAGCACUUUUGUCCGGAAAGAAAUCCUUGGCCCUAAUACGGUCGGGGGAUGACGGUACCGGGAGAAUAAGCACCGGCUAACUACGUG
Molecule: ribosomal RNA, 486 nt
Filed under: uncultured bacterium
Lineage: Bacteria
Description: partial 16S ribosomal RNA
Rfam family: Bacterial small subunit ribosomal RNA
Source: RNAcentral